GAUGAACGCUGGCGGCGUGCCUAAUACAUGCAAGUCGAGCGAACGGACGAGAAGCUUGCUUCUCUGAUGUUAGCGGCGGACGGGUGAGUAACACGUGGAUAACCUACCUAUAAGACUGGGAUAACUUCGGGAAACCGGAGCUAAUACCGGAUAAUAUUUUGAACCGCAUGGUUCAAAAGUGAAAGACGGUCUUGCUGUCACUUAUAGAUGGAUCCGCGCUGCAUUAGCUAGUUGGUAAGGUAACGGCGUACCAAGGCAACGAUGCAUAGCCGACCUGAGAGGGUGAUCGGCCACGAUGGAACUGAGACACGGUCCAGACUCCUACGGGAGGCAGCAGUAGGGAAUAUUCCGCAAUGGGCGAAAGCCUGACGGAGCAACGCCGCGUGAGUGAUGAAGGUCUUCGGAUCGUAAAACUCUGUUAUUAGGGAAGAACAUAUGUGUAAGUAACUGUGCACAUCUUGACGGUACCUAAUCAGAAAGCCACGGCUAACUACGUG
This 497-nucleotide ribosomal RNA is filed under the name uncultured bacterium. Its description in RNAcentral is "partial 16S ribosomal RNA". It matches the Rfam family "Bacterial small subunit ribosomal RNA", at positions 28 to 507 of the family's 1533-position model. The record is from RNAcentral.